GCUAGGGUUAAUAUGCUAUAAAAGGACGAGAGAAAAUAGGGAACGCAAAGGCGCCUGAGGCCGAGCGCUUCCCUCGUGAGUAAAGGGGUGGCGUGGUAUUCCACGGAGAGAGGUUCUUUUGAAAAUCGUGGCGCUUGAUGGUGCGACGGGCGCACAAUAAGCAAACUUGGGGCUGCCAUGGCCGCUUGGCUGCUUUAGUCUUUGCAGCCAAAGCGAGGGGAUUGCCCUACAUGUUAUUCUUCCA
RNAcentral lists this unclassified non-coding RNA (244 nucleotides) under Hevea brasiliensis (rubber tree). Lineage: Eukaryota; Viridiplantae; Streptophyta; Magnoliopsida; Malpighiales; Euphorbiaceae. The record is from RNAcentral.